UGAAAAGUGAGCGGAUGAACUGAGGGUAGCGGAGAAAUUCCAAUCGAACCUGGAGAUAGCUGGUUCUCUCCGAAAUAGCUUUAGGGCUAGCCUCAAGUGAUGAUUAUUGGAGGUAGAGCACUGUUUGGACGAGGGGCCCCUCUCGGGUUACCGAAUUCAGACAAACUCCGAAUGCCAAUUAAUUUAACUUGGGAGUCAGAACAUGGGUGAUAAGGUCCGUGUUCGAAAGGGAAACAGCCCAGACCACCAGCUAAGGUCCCAAAAUAUAUGUUAAGUGGAAAAGGAUGUGGCGUUGCCCAGACAACUAGGAUGUUGGCUUAGAAGCAGCCAUCAUUUAAAGAGUGCGUAAUAGCUCACUAGUCGAGUGACACUGCGCCGAAAAUGUACCGGGGCUAAACAUAUUACCGAAGCUGUGGAUUGUCCUUUGGACAAUGGUAGGAGAGCGUUCUAAGGGCGUUGAAGCAUGAUCGUAAGGACAUGUGGAGCGCUUAGAAGUGAGAAUGCCGGUGUGAGUAGCGAAAGACGGGUGAGAAUCCCGUCCACCGAUUGACUAAGGUUUCCAGAGGAAGGCUCGUCCGCUCUGGGUUAGUCGGGUCCUAAGCUGAGGCCGACAGGCGUAGGCGAUGGAUAACAGGUUGAUAUUCCUGUACCACCUAUAAUCGUUUUAAUCGAUGGGGGGACGCAGUAGGAUAGGCGAAGCGUGCGAUUGGAUUGCACGUCUAAGCAGUAAGGCUGAGUAUUAGGCAAAUCCGGUACUCGUUAAGGC
This 766-nucleotide ribosomal RNA is filed under the name Staphylococcus aureus. RNAcentral's name for it is "partial 23S ribosomal RNA". It matches the Rfam family "Bacterial large subunit ribosomal RNA", at positions 790 to 1556 of the family's 2925-position model. The record is from RNAcentral. Lineage: Bacteria; Bacillati; Bacillota; Bacilli; Caryophanales; Staphylococcaceae.